RNAcentral lists this ribosomal RNA (408 nucleotides) under uncultured Peyronellaea. Its description in RNAcentral is "eukaryotic LSU rRNA". The stretch from base 88 to 241 matches the Rfam family "5.8S ribosomal RNA". The record is from RNAcentral. Lineage: Eukaryota; Fungi; Ascomycota; Dothideomycetes; Pleosporales; Didymellaceae.
UUCGUUUCCUCGGCGGGUUCGCCCGCCGAUUGGACAAUUUAAACCAUUUGCAGUUGCAAUCAGCGUCUGAAAAAACAUAAUAGUUACAACUUUCAACAACGGAUCUCUUGGUUCUGGCAUCGAUGAAGAACGCAGCGAAAUGCGAUAAGUAGUGUGAAUUGCAGAAUUCAGUGAAUCAUCGAAUCUUUGAACGCACAUUGCGCCCCUUGGUAUUCCAUGGGGCAUGCCUGUUCGAGCGUCAUUUGUACCUUCAAGCUCUGCUUGGUGUUGGGUGUUUGUCUCGCCUCUGCGCGUAGACUCGCCUCAAAACAAUUGGCAGCCGGCGUAUUGAUUUCGGAGCGCAGUACAUCUCGCGCUUUGCAUUCAGAACGACGACGUCCAAAAGUACAUUUUUACACUCUUGACCUC